This is a long non-coding RNA of Vidua macroura (Pin-tailed whydah), 2286 nucleotides long. RefSeq lists it as uncharacterized. The record is from RefSeq and is a predicted model, not a curated record. NCBI's taxonomy places the organism in Eukaryota, Metazoa, Chordata, Aves, Passeriformes, Viduidae. The transcript has 3 exons.
GUGCGCGGAAGGCCGGGGGCGCGUAACCGCACGGCCCGGCGGCUAUGGCGGGCGGGAUGAGCGCGGCCCGGCCCGGCCCCUCAGCGCUCGGGGCAGGCGAGCCUCCGCAGCUCGUGUGCCCGCUGGGAGAGGGAAAGAUACUGCGCUGAGAAGUAAAUAGGUCGGCGAAGUGUUCUAACGGCACGUUUCAGUGUCCCAGGGAGUCUUAAUGGCCUGCUGCAUAAUCCCAUUAAAGCGCCUGCCAGCGCAGCUCGCUGUCACCUUCCUCAGCCUUAGAGUCAGAUGCAUAAAACCAGCUGCCAUGUGGCACGACAGCUUACGGUGCAGAAGCUGAGGCUGGCUGGCACGGUUCUGGAGGUGCCAUCUAGUUUUCACAUCUAUUUUUUGAAAGAAAAAUCCCGCUUCCAUGAAGGCCUCUCCAAGUCCUAUGGCAAACACGGUUUAGGGGCUGUACAGAGCUUUUUGAGCCACUUCUUUCAGGGGAUGCAGUGCCCUUCCUGCAAGGAGCAAGGACCCUCUCUCGAGGAAAGAGGCAGAGCCGGAGCGUGAAGGUCUGUGUGAGCUGAAACGUAGUGAAAAGAGGGUUUAAUCCUGAAACCAGGAUUACACAGCCCUUCCAACGGCACCAGCAGCCCAAUAAGGCACUCCUACUGAGACACGGGGUCAGUGCCUUACUGGGCUACUGGGCACACUUCACGACUUUUAUGAGUUGUGGAGUUUUCUUUCCACAAAUCACUGCCGCUGUGGGGACGCCUCCUUAAAAUCCCUGCUUUCCCAACACUUUUUGUUUGCUCAGCAGGCAAACCCAGGAAACUUUUCUAGAGGUUUGAACUGCACCAAGGUAUGUACAAAACUGAAACAGAAGAGCACAGGGAAUUAAAACAGGAUGUAUAAGAGAGCUUUCUAACUAAUUCUCCAUUCUCCAGUUGAUGGAUGCAAGCCAACCCUACAAGUGUUACACCUGCCUAGCAUCUGGCAAGGUGUGAUCCUCAGUCAAAGCGCUCAGAAUUCCCAUCUCAAGAGAUCUAAAAUUGACCUUUUAAGUACCUGCUGAGGAUGGGACAAGGCAGCAGUGUGAAUUUAGCCCAGAGCCUGCGGGCAUCACUGAACAUGGCAGCACAAGAGAGCCAAGGGACAGCUGAGCAGGAUUGACAUUGCUGCCCCUCAAAAACACACACCUGGAGCUGCACACGCCUGUGGGAAAGGCCCAACCAAGCCAACACUCACAGUGCCCAACAACAGAAAUGUGAGCUGGCAUUCAUCCCUCAUGCUGGUCACUUGCAGAGGAAUCUUGCAAUAAAUGGCAGCUACAGGACAAGAAGAAUGGUACCAUUACUACCUCAGCAGGAAUGAGCAGGAAGGUGACUCAGAAAGAGUGUCCAGCACUGCCAUGCCACCCUUCUGAGUGUGAUUUGUUUGUGGAAGAUGAGAGAGACCUGUCUGGGUGAUGAGAGGUCCUCACUGCUGUAGUGACACCAAAAACCUGCUUGCAAAGAGUAUUUCAAGCACCCAACAUCCCACUGUUCUGCACUGCUAAGAGUCUGGCUCACUUGGAAUUGCUUGGACUGCUCUGGAAACUUUUGCAUCUCCAGUCCCCCGGGGGCUGCCUGAAGAGGCAGAUCCCUGCCUUGGAUCCUCCACCCAGUGCCAAUAAAACCUACUGCAACACUCAUAUUUUUAUCCAGGUAACAGUCUUGUAUGAAACAAAUAGGUAGCUACUUACUGUCUUCUUAGUAUUUUGUGUAGUGGGCUUUUUUGUGAUUUUUGUGAAAAACGCCUUUACUUUCUUGUGAAAAUUUAAAAAGUUUAAUAAAGGACAGUAGGAGACAGAAAUAAAGGGUUAAAACAGCUGGGUGUUGGAUAUUUAGUUAAGAGUACACUUGCUAUUUUGGAAAUGCUUUUAAUAUAAUAUUUUAUUACAUUUUUUUUAUAUAUUUAUAAAUAAUUAUGUAUAGUAAACUUUUUUUUCUAAAUUAGUUUACAUAUUCUAAGAACUGUCUAGUAUGGCUCUUUUUUGGUUUUAUUUUCUUAGAGUACUCUUGGGUUGUGGUAUUAGUUUAUUUUUAUCACUUUUAGUUUUUGGGUCUUGGUCUACACUGUUUUUAGACAGUGAGUGUUGAUAGUUGGUAUAUUUGUAGUAGGUGUUUUCUUUAUAUGUUUACUGGGUGUUAUUUCAUUUAAGUAGGUAUUUUAAUAUAAGUACACUUAUAUCAGUUAUUUUAUUAAGUUUAAUUAACAAUAGAAAUAAAAACUAUAUUUUAUGUAAAGUUUUUUAACAUUACACAU